Molecule: ribosomal RNA, 426 nt
Filed under: uncultured soil bacterium
Lineage: Bacteria
Description: bacterial SSU rRNA
Rfam family: Bacterial small subunit ribosomal RNA
Source: RNAcentral
AGAGUGAACGCUGGCGGCAGGCCUAAUACAUGCAAGUCGAACGGCAGCACGGCAGAGCUUGCUCUGUGGGUGGCGAGUGGCGGACGGGUGAGGAAUACAUGGGAAUCUGCCCAGUCGUGGGGGAUAACGUAGGGAAACUUACGCUAAUACCGCAUGCGCCCUUCGGGGGAAAGCCGGGGACCUUCGGGCCUGGCGCGAUUGGAUGAGCCCAUGUCGGAUUAGCUAGUUGGCGGGGUAACGGCCACCGAAGGCGACGAUCCGUAGCUGGUCUGAGAGGAUGGAUCGGCCACACUGGAACUGACGACACGGUCCAGACUCCGUACGGGAGGCAGCAGUAGGGAAUAUUGGACAAUGGGCGCAAGCCGUAGAUCCAGCCAUGGCCGCGUGAGUAGGAAGAAGGUCCUUCGGGUUAGUAAACGUCGUUAC